Molecule: ribosomal RNA, 212 nt
Filed under: uncultured bacterium
Lineage: Bacteria
Description: partial 16S ribosomal RNA
Rfam family: Bacterial small subunit ribosomal RNA
Source: RNAcentral
UCAGUUCGGAUCGCAGGCUGCAACCCGCCUGCGUGAAGCCGGAAUUGCUAGUAAUCGCGGAUCAGCAUGCCGCGGUGAAUACGUUCCCGGGCCUUGUACACACCGCCCGUCACACCAUGAGAGCCGGGGGACCCGAAGUCCGUAGUUUAACCGCAAGGAGGACGCGGCCGAAGGUAAAACUGGUGAUUGGGGUGAAGUCGUAACAAGGUAUC